This 506-nucleotide ribosomal RNA is filed under the name uncultured bacterium. RNAcentral describes it as "partial 16S ribosomal RNA". It matches the Rfam family "Bacterial small subunit ribosomal RNA", at positions 29 to 523 of the family's 1533-position model. The record is from RNAcentral.
AGUGAACGCUGGCGGUAGGCCUAACAUAUGCAAGUCGAACGGCAGCACAGGAGAGCUUGCUCUCUGGGUGGCGAGUGGCGGACGGGUGAGGAAUACAUCGGAAUCUACUCUGUCGGGGGGGAUAACGUAGGGAAACUUACGCUAAUACCGCAUACGACCUACGGGUGAAAGCAGGGGACCUUCGGGCCUUGCGCGAUUGAAUGAGCCGAUGUCGGAUUAGCUAGUUGGCGGGGUAAAGGCCCACCAAGGCGACGAUCCGUAGCUGGUCUGAGAGGAUGAUCAGCCACACUGGAACUGAGACACGGUCCAGACUCCUACGGGAGGCAGCAGUGGGGAAUAUUGGACAAUGGGCUCAAGCCUGAUCCAGCCAUACCGCGUGGGUGAAGAAGGCCUUCGGGUUGUAAAGCCCUUUUGUUGGGAAAGAAAUCCAGCUGGCUAAUACCCGGUUGGGAUGACGGUACCCAAAGAAUAAGCACCGGCUAACUUCGUGCCAGCAGCCGCCGUAA